Molecule: long non-coding RNA, 230 nt
Filed under: Lathyrus oleraceus (garden pea)
Lineage: Eukaryota; Viridiplantae; Streptophyta; Magnoliopsida; Fabales; Fabaceae
Description: Pisum sativum (pea) long non-coding RNA (PSAT_LNC015270)
Source: RNAcentral
UUUUAUUCCUCAGGAGAGUUGUUGGUUUUCUACCCAGUACCCGGUAGUUGUAAAUCCUGUAUACCUUUUUUCCCUUUUGUGGAAUAGGUGUUUGUGAACGUCUUUGUUCCUCAGCAAGAGUCGAUGGUUUUCUACCCAGUAUUCGGUAGUCGUAAAUCCUAUUUCUUCUUGCUCCUCAGCAGUUGGUGGUUUGUUAUAAACCCUAUUUUGUUUCCCCGUGCGGAGUUGUG